This 1778-nucleotide long non-coding RNA is filed under the name Olea europaea subsp. europaea. The record is from RNAcentral. Lineage: Eukaryota; Viridiplantae; Streptophyta; Magnoliopsida; Lamiales; Oleaceae.
CUACAAGUCAAUGAUUUUGCAGGAAUUCCAUUGCAUAAAAGUUACAAUUCAGCUGUUGUCGAAGCAAGUGGUUAUGAGAACAUGAGUUGCGUGGAAAAGGAUUGCCGAAAUUACAUUGAAAAAGUGAGACGAUUAAGACUUGGGGAAGGGGCCGUCGCCGCAAUACAAACAUACUUUUCAAAAAUGCAAGCACAAGUCUCAGGCUUUUUCUUAGUAUGGAUCUGGAUGAUGAUUUUCGGUUGAAGAACAUAUUUUGGGCAGAUAAUCGCUGUAGACAAGCAUAUAAGGAAUUCGGCAAUGUUGUUACAUUUGAUACCGCUUACUUGACAAACAAGUAUGACAUGCCUUUCGCCCCUUUUGUUUGCAUUAAUCGUCACGGACAAUCCACAUUGUUGGGUUGUGGAUUGGUAUUGAAUAAAGACAUGGAAACUUUUGUGCGGUUGUUUAGAAUAUGGCUCCAAUGUAUGCAUGAACAAGCACCACAAGGGAUAAUUACCGAUUAGGACAGGGCAAUACAAAAUGCAAUUCAGAUAGUUUUCUCGAACACAAGACAUAGAUGGUGUUUGUGACACAUUCUGAAAAAGUUGCCUAAGAAGUUUGGACACCACGAAAACAAGGCAUCAAUAUUUGAAGCGAUACACGGAUUGGUUUACGAUUCAUAGUUUGUCCAGGAGUUCGAAGAAGGUUGGGCCACGAUGAUUGAUACUUACGGCUUGCAUGAUAACGAUUGGUUGUCCGGACUAUAUGCAAAAAGAGCUCGUUGGGUUCCUUAUUUUCUGAAGACUAGUUUCUGGGCAGGGAUGUCAAUGACACAGAGAACCGAGAGCAUGAAUGCAUUCUUUGAUGGGUAUGUGCAUUCGAAGACGUCAUUGAAGCAAUUUGUCAAACAAUAUGAGCGAGCACUGCACAGUAAAAUUGAGAAGGAGUUCCAAGCUGAUUUCAAGUCAUUUGCGCAAACAUUACCGUGUGCCACAGAUUAUGAAGUGGAGCAGCAGUUUCAAUCAGUUUGCACUAUUUCUAAAUUAAAGGAGGCUCAGGCUGAGUUUAUAGGAAAGGUUUACUGUGACCUCAUCUCUACUUCGGAGAGACCCUCAGGGACGAUGUAUGAGGUUCGAUAGGACGUUAUGGGCGGCGGGAUACGGAGGAAGAAAACAUUUGUCGUCUCAUUUGAUAGAUAAAAUUGUGAUAUUCUUUGCAGCUGCCAUUUGCUCGAGUUUAGGGAGAUAAUUUGUAGGCAUGCUAUUGCAGUACUGAUUCAUUGUGACGUCACAUUACUUCCUGAGAGGUGUAUACUGCGAAGGUGGAGGAAAGACGUUGGGGUCGCAAUCGAUUACGACGGUUUGGUUAGUACUCUUGAGCAGUUGAGGUAUGGUGACGUGUGCCAUGCUUUUGAAGAAGUAGCGGAUCUCGCGGCAGACGAUGAAGGUCGAGCACGUGUGAUUAUGGAAUGGAUAAAACUUCAGCGUCAAGAUCUCAUGACGUCUAAGAAGUCGGGCAUAGGAAGUAAUGCUGUAUCCAAAAAUUCUUUUGAAAAUAUGGACCAAUGCACUGAUUUUCAACAUCAUGGUAGUGUGACUAUACGUGAUCCAGUGACGUCGCGCACAAAAGGGGCCCCCAAGAAACUUCGGAGAAAAGGUCCGUUGGAGUCGAGUUCGAAGAAAAGUAUGUUCGAAGCCUAGACUCUAAAAUUCAAAUGUCUCUAAUAAUUAAUACUGAUCACAUCCUAUGCAUAUUUAGGGAAGCUCGGCACCAAACAAAGGAAAGCGACCAAGCAUGAG